This 905-nucleotide ribosomal RNA is filed under the name uncultured bacterium. Its description in RNAcentral is "bacterial SSU rRNA". It matches the Rfam family "Bacterial small subunit ribosomal RNA", at positions 1 to 916 of the family's 1533-position model. The record is from RNAcentral. RNAcentral also lists the same sequence under 1 other name.
UGGAUCCAGACUUUGAUUCUGGCUCAGGACGAACGCUGGCGGCGCGCCUAACACAUGCAAGUCGAACGGAGUUAAGAGGAGCUUGCUUUUCUUAACUUAGUGGCGAACGGGUGAGUAACGCGUGAGUAACCUGCCCUGGAGUGGGGGACAACAGUUGGAAACGACUGCUAAUACCGCAUAAGCCCACGGAGCCGCAUGGUUCUGGGGGAAAAGGAUUUAUUCGCUUCAGGAUGGACUCGCGUCCAAUUAGCUAGUUGGUGAGGUAACGGCCCACCAAGGCGACGAUUGGUAGCCGGACUGAGAGGUUGAACGGCCACAUUGGGACUGAGACACGGCCCAGACUCCUACGGGAGGCAGCAGUGGGGGAUAUUGCACAAUGGGGGAAACCCUGAUGCAGCGACGCCGCGUGGAGGAAGAAGGUUUUCGGAUUGUAAGCUCCUGUCGUUAGGGACGAUAAUGACGGUACCUAACAAGAAAGCACCGGCUAACUACGUGCCAGCAGCCGCGGUAAAACGUAGGGUGCAAGCGUUGUCCGGAAUUACUGGGUGUAAAGGGAGCGCAGGCGGACCGGCAAGUUGGAAGUGAAAACUAUGGGCUCAACCCAUAAAUUGCUUUCAAAACUGCUGGCCUUGAGUAGUGCAGAGGUAGGUGGAAUUCCCGGUGUAGCGGUGGAAUGCGUAGAUAUCGGGAGGAACACCAGUGGCGAAGGCGACCUACUGGGCACCAACUGACGCUGAGGCUCGAAAGCAUGGGUAGCAAACAGGAUUAGAUACCCUGGUAGUCCAUGCCGUAAACGAUGAUUACUAGGUGUUGGAGGAUUGACCCCUUCAGUGCCGCAGUUAACACAAUAAGUAAUCCACCUGGGGGAGUACGACCGCAAGGUUGCAACUCAAAUGAAUUGACGA